This 255-nucleotide ribosomal RNA is filed under the name uncultured marine alveolate. RNAcentral describes it as "partial 18S ribosomal RNA". It matches the Rfam family "Eukaryotic small subunit ribosomal RNA", at positions 618 to 878 of the family's 1831-position model. The record is from RNAcentral.
GUUAAAAAGCUCGUAGUUGGAUUUCUGUUGAGAACGGGCGGUCCGCCUUUUGGGGGAGUAUCUGUGUUGACCUCUGCAUCUUCUUGAGGAGCGCUCCUGCGCUUGAUUGCGUGAAGCGGUGCCCAGAACUUUUACUUUGAGGAAAUUAGAGUGUUCACGGCAGGCUUUCACCCUGAAUAUAUUACCAUGGAAUAAUGAUAUAUGAUUUUGGUCCUAUUUUGUUGGUUUCUAUGACUAGGAAAUGAUUAAUAGGGA